GACGAACGCUGGCGGCGUGCUUAACACAUGCAAGUCGAACGAAGAGCGAUGGAAGCUUGCUUCUAUCAAUCUUAGUGGCGAACGGGUGAGUAACGCGUAAUCAACCUGCCCUUCAGAGGGGGACAACAGUUGGAAACGACUGCUAAUACCGCAUACGAUCUAAUCUCGGCAUCGAGGAUAGAUGAAAGGUGGCCUCUACAUGUAAGCUAUCACUGAAGGAGGGGAUUGCGUCUGAUUAGCUAGUUGGAGGGGUAACGGCCCACCAAGGCGAUGAUCAGUAGCCGGUCUGAGAGGAUGAACGGCCACAUUGGGACUGAGACACGGCCCAGACUCCUACGGGAGGCAGCAGUGGGGAAUCUUCCGCAAUGGACGAAAGUCUGACGGAGCAACGCCGCGUGAGCGAUGACGGCCUUCGGGUUGUAAAGCUCUGUUAAUCGGGACGAAAGGCCUUCUUGCGAAUAGUGAGAAGGAUUGACGGUACCGGAAUAGAAAGCC
RNAcentral lists this ribosomal RNA (495 nucleotides) under Veillonella parvula. Its description in RNAcentral is "bacterial SSU rRNA". It matches the Rfam family "Bacterial small subunit ribosomal RNA", at positions 28 to 492 of the family's 1533-position model. Lineage: Bacteria; Bacillati; Bacillota; Negativicutes; Veillonellales; Veillonellaceae. The record is from RNAcentral.